CGAACGGGUGAGUAAUACAUCGGAACGUGCCCACGUAGUGGGGGGAGUAGCCCGGCCGAAAGCCGGAUUAAUACCGCAUACGACCUACGGGUGAAAGCGGGGGAUCGCAAGACCUCGCGCUAUUGGAGCGGCCGAUGUCGGAUUAGCUUGUUGGUGAGGUAAAAGCUCACCAAGGCGACGAUCCGUAGCUGGUCUGAGAGGACGACCAGCCACACUGGGACUGAGACACGGCCCAG
This 236-nucleotide ribosomal RNA is filed under the name uncultured bacterium. RNAcentral's name for it is "partial 16S ribosomal RNA". It matches the Rfam family "Bacterial small subunit ribosomal RNA", at positions 99 to 334 of the family's 1533-position model. The record is from RNAcentral.